Molecule: ribosomal RNA, 200 nt
Filed under: uncultured bacterium
Lineage: Bacteria
Description: partial 16S ribosomal RNA
Rfam family: Bacterial small subunit ribosomal RNA
Source: RNAcentral
GACGGAGGGGGCUAGCGUUAUUCGGAAUUACUGGGCGUAAAGGGCGCGUAGGCGGAUUAGUAAGUUGGGAGUGAAAGCCCGGGGCUCAACCUCGGAACUGCUUUCAAAACUGCUAGUCUUGAGUGAAGUAGGGGGUGAUGGAAUUCCUAGUGUAGAGGUGAAAUUCUUAGAUAUUAGGAGGAACACCGGUGGCGAAGGCG